GACGAACGCUGGCGGCAUGCCUAACACAUGCAAGUCGAGCGAGCAGAUCCCUUCGGGGUGAAGCUAGCGGCGGACGGGUGAGUAACACGUGGGCAACCUGCCUCAUAGAGGGGAAUAGCCUUCCGAAAGGAAGAUUAAUACCGCAUAAGAUUGUAGCUUCGCAUGAAGCAGCAAUUCACGGAGCAAUCCGCUAUGAGAUGGGCCCGCGGCGGAUUAGCUAGUUGGUGAGGUAACGGCGCACCAAGGCGACGAUGCGUAGCCGGCCUGAGAGGGUGAUCGGCCAGAUUGGGACUGAGACACGGCCCAGACUCCUACGGGAGGCAGCAGUGGGGAAUAUUGCACAAUGGGGGAAACCCUGAUGCAGCAAUGCCGCGUGAGUGAUGACGGCCUUCGGGUUGUAAAGCUCUGUCUUCGGGGACGAUAAUGACGGUACCCGAGGAGGAAGCCACGGCUAACUACGUGCCAGCCGCCGCCGUAA
Molecule: ribosomal RNA, 478 nt
Filed under: uncultured bacterium
Lineage: Bacteria
Description: partial 16S ribosomal RNA
Rfam family: Bacterial small subunit ribosomal RNA
Source: RNAcentral